ACCGCGUCGCCCCCUCCCCCUCCGGGGGGGAUCGGGGCGGAGACUGGCCCCCCGUGCGCGCCCGCGCGCGGCCGGCCUAAACGCAGACCCCGCGGCCCCGAAGAGGCACGGCGAUUGGUGGAGUACGUAAGACCUACGCAUCGCGCCGCGCGACGAGGGGACCGCCGGGGCCAACAGGAAUAGGACCCACAAUAUUACCGUU
Molecule: unclassified non-coding RNA, 202 nt
Filed under: Parogonum ciliinode
Lineage: Eukaryota; Viridiplantae; Streptophyta; Magnoliopsida; Caryophyllales; Polygonaceae
Description: Fallopia cilinodis internal transcribed sapcer 2
Source: RNAcentral